UGGGGAAUAUUGGACAAUGGGCGAAAGCCUGAUCCAGCCAUGCCGCGUGUGUGAAGAAGGUCUUCGGAUUGUAAAGCACUUUAAGUUGGGAGGAAGGGCAGUAAGCGAAUACCUUGCUGUUUUGACGUUACCGACAGAAUAAGCACCGGCUAACUCUGUGCCAGCAGCCGCGGUAAUACAGAGGGUGCAAGCGUUAAUCGGAUUUACUGGGCGUAAAGCGUGCGUAGGUGGUUCGUUAAGUUGAAUGUGAAAGCCCCGGGCUCAACCUGGGAACUGCAUCCAAAACUGGCGAGCUAGAGUAGGGCAGAGGGUGGUGGAAUUUCCUGUGUAGCGGUGAAAUGCGUAGAUAUAGGAAGGAACACCAGUGGCGAAGGCGACCACCUGGGCUCAUACUGACACUGAGGUGCGAAAGCGUGGGGAGCAAACAGG
Molecule: ribosomal RNA, 429 nt
Filed under: Pseudomonadota bacterium
Lineage: Bacteria; Pseudomonadati; Pseudomonadota
Description: Proteobacteria bacterium partial 16S ribosomal RNA
Rfam family: Bacterial small subunit ribosomal RNA
Source: RNAcentral